Molecule: ribosomal RNA, 428 nt
Filed under: uncultured bacterium
Lineage: Bacteria
Description: partial 16S ribosomal RNA
Rfam family: Bacterial small subunit ribosomal RNA
Source: RNAcentral
GUAGGGAAUAUUGGACAAUGGGGGCAACCCUGAUCCAGCGACGCCGCGUGAGUGACGAAGGCCUUCGGGUCGUAAAGCUCUGUUGCAAGGGAAAAACAAAAUGAUGGUACCUUGCUAGAAAGGAUCGGCUAACUUCGUGCCAGCAGCCGCGGUAAGACGAGGGAUCCUAGCGUUGUUCGGAAUUAUUGGGCGUAAAGCGGGUGUAGGUGGCUUUGUAAGUCAGGUGUGAAAGCCUGGGGCUUAACCCCAGAAGUGCAUUUGAUACUGCGAAGCUUGAGUGCUGGAGAGGCUACUAGAAUUCUUGGUGUAGUGGUGAAAUACGUAGAUAUCAAGAGGAAUACCGGAGGCGAAGGCGGGUAGCUGGCCAGACACUGACACUCAGACCCGAAAGCGUGGGGAUCAAACAGGAUUAGAAACCCUUGUAGUCC